This is a long non-coding RNA of Scylla paramamosain (green mud crab), 1204 nucleotides long. RefSeq lists it as uncharacterized. The transcript has 3 exons. NCBI's taxonomy places the organism in Eukaryota, Metazoa, Arthropoda, Malacostraca, Decapoda, Portunidae. The record is from RefSeq and is a predicted model, not a curated record.
CGCGCGAAGGUCCAAUGUGGGACCGUUUGGUUACUGCUUGUAAUUUGAAAACACAACCUGUGAGCAGCAGCCAGGGCGUGCAGCGGCGUGCAGUGCGUGGGUAUGGUGACUGUGUGGCCUCUGAUGUGCAGGUGUGUGAGCUGCUGGACGAGAGAAGAGCAAACGAAAAGUAAACAUGGGAUUGCUGCCGCCUCAGGACACUAGGAGCAUCGCAGGAGCGCUGAGGAAGAUAAUACAACUCUUGACGCAGCGAACACAACUCUGUACUGAGGCAGGCAGUGGCUUCUCCCAACACCUCACGUGGUCAUCACAACAAGCAAUUCCACGUCAAAUGGAGAUGAUCCUCUUCAAACAGGAGUACAAAACUGAUCUGGCACCAACAAGCAAUAGAGUAGCAUCCCCACGUGCGCCGGACACUUCACCGCCACCCAGCUGUCCCGGCCCGCCAACACACCACAACAGCCUUCCCUGCGACAGCCUCCAAAUUGCCCCCGGGAAGCAAAAGGAGGAAACGUCCAGAGAGUGUAUUUAUUUUACGAUAUGACACCUGAAUACUACUGAUGCCACCGCCGCCGCCGCCGCCGCUGCCGCCGCCGCCACCACCACCACCAUACCAGUCCAUUAAUAAAUAAAACCAGUAUUUCCUGUUCAUGUAUUUUGUCUACGUAAUGAAACAGCGGAGGGAAGCAUCACGUAGACAGACAGGCACGCAUUAGUCUCGCUAUCAGUCCUCCAUCAACAGACAGACUGACUGACUAACUGACUGACUGACCAGUCCUCCAUCAACAGACUGACUGACUGACUGACAAAGACGGACGGACAGACAGGUGGUGUACUUGUACUUAUCUGCUCAGCUUAUCAACUUACUUAACUGUAACCUCAAUCAUGUAACUUUUCAUCAUCACAGAGUCAGGAAAGUUAAAAUAUAGCCUCAUUUGCUCUCUCUCUCUCUCUCUCUCUCUCUCUCUCUCUCUCUCUCUCUCUCUCUCUCUCUCUCUCUCUCUCUAACGUCACAUCACACAGGUCAUUAUAUAGAUGAAAUUGAUGAAAUAUACACACAUUUCCCAAUAGAAUUAGUUUUCUAUGGUAAAUUUACAUAAAUAGUCCAAUAACAGUAUUCAAAACCACAGAUUGCUACCUUUCAUUACGUGUGGAGCUUCAAUCUCAAAUAAAAACCAUUAUAUAUUGACUCAAAUAAGGCAAC